Molecule: transfer RNA, 84 nt
Filed under: Candidatus Woesearchaeota archaeon
Lineage: Archaea; Nanobdellati; Candidatus Woesearchaeota
Also listed under: 1 other name
Description: tRNA-Ser
Rfam family: tRNA
About the family: Transfer RNA (tRNA) molecules are approximately 80 nucleotides in length. Their secondary structure includes four short double-helical elements and three loops (D, anti-codon, and T loops). Further hydrogen bonds mediate the characteristic L-shaped molecular structure. tRNAs have two regions of fundamental functional importance: the anti-codon, which is responsible for specific mRNA codon recognition, and the 3' end, to which the tRNAs corresponding amino acid is attached (by aminoacyl-tRNA synthetases). tRNAs cope with the degeneracy of the genetic code in two manners: having more than one tRNA (with a specific anti-codon) for a particular amino acid; and 'wobble' base-pairing, i.e. permitting non-standard base-pairing at the 3rd anti-codon position.
Source: RNAcentral
GCCGAGGUCGCAUAACCUGGUAUUGCGCAGGCCUUGAGAGCCUGUUCCCUUCGGGGUAUCUGGGUUCGAAUCCCAGCCUCGGCG